This 2921-nucleotide ribosomal RNA is filed under the name Staphylococcus aureus FVRH6035. RNAcentral's name for it is "bacterial LSU rRNA". It matches the Rfam family "Bacterial large subunit ribosomal RNA". The record is from RNAcentral. Lineage: Bacteria; Bacillati; Bacillota; Bacilli; Caryophanales; Staphylococcaceae.
UUAAGUUAUUAAGGGCGCACGGUGGAUGCCUUGGCACUAGAAGCCGAUGAAGGACGUUACUAACGACGAUAUGCUUUGGGGAGCUGUAAGUAAGCUUUGAUCCAGAGAUUUCCGAAUGGGGAAACCCAGCAUGAGUUAUGUCAUGUUAUCGAUAUGUGAAUACAUAGCAUAUCAGAAGGCACACCCGGAGAACUGAAACAUCUUAGUACCCGGAGGAAGAGAAAGAAAAUUCGAUUCCCUUAGUAGCGGCGAGCGAAACGGGAAGAGCCCAAACCAAAAAGCUUGCUUGUUGGGGUUGUAGGACACUCUAUACGGAGUUACAAAGGACGACAUUAGACGAAUCAUCUGGAAAGAUGAAUCAAAGAAGGUAAUAAUCCUGUAGUCGAAAAUGUUGUCUCUCUUGAGUGGAUCCUGAGUACGACGGAGCACGUGAAAUUCCGUCGGAAUCUGGGAGGACCAUCUCCUAAGGCUAAAUACUCUCUAGUGACCGAUAGUGAACCAGUACCGUGAGGGAAAGGUGAAAAGCACCCCGGAAGGGGAGUGAAAUAGAACCUGAAACCGUGUGCUUACAAGUAGUCAGAGCCCGUUAAUGGGUGAUGGCGUGCCUUUUGUAGAAUGAACCGGCGAGUUACGAUUUGAUGCAAGGUUAAGCAGUAAAUGUGGAGCCGUAGCGAAAGCGAGUCUGAAUAGGGCGUUUAGUAUUUGGUCGUAGACCCGAAACCAGGUGAUCUACCCUUGGUCAGGUUGAAGUUCAGGUAACACUGAAUGGAGGACCGAACCGACUUACGUUGAAAAGUGAGCGGAUGAACUGAGGGUAGCGGAGAAAUUCCAAUCGAACCUGGAGAUAGCUGGUUCUCUCCGAAAUAGCUUUAGGGCUAGCCUCAAGUGAUGAUUAUUGGAGGUAGAGCACUGUUUGGACGAGGGGCCCCUCUCGGGUUACCGAAUUCAGACAAACUCCGAAUGCCAAUUAAUUUAACUUGGGAGUCAGAACAUGGGUGAUAAGGUCCGUGUUCGAAAGGGAAACAGCCCAGACCACCAGCUAAGGUCCCAAAAUAUAUGUUAAGUGGAAAAGGAUGUGGCGUUGCCCAGACAACUAGGAUGUUGGCUUAGAAGCAGCCAUCAUUUAAAGAGUGCGUAAUAGCUCACUAGUCGAGUGACACUGCGCCGAAAAUGUACCGGGGCUAAACAUAUUACCGAAGCUGUGGAUUGUCCUUUGGACAAUGGUAGGAGAGCGUUCUAAGGGCGUUGAAGCAUGAUCGUAAGGACAUGUGGAGCGCUUAGAAGUGAGAAUGCCGGUGUGAGUAGCGAAAGACGGGUGAGAAUCCCGUCCACCGAUUGACUAAGGUUUCCAGAGGAAGGCUCGUCCGCUCUGGGUUAGUCGGGUCCUAAGCUGAGGCCGACAGGCGUAGGCGAUGGAUAACAGGUUGAUAUUCCUGUACCACCUAUAAUCGUUUUAAUCGAUGGGGGGACGCAGUAGGAUAGGCGAAGCGUGCGAUUGGAUUGCACGUCUAAGCAGUAAGGCUGAGUAUUAGGCAAAUCCGGUACUCGUUAAGGCUGAGCUGUGAUGGGGAGAAGACAUUGAGUCUUCGAGUCGUUGAUUUCACACUGCCGAGAAAAGCCUCUAGAUAGAAAAUAGGUGCCCGUACCGCAAACCGACACAGGUAGUCAAGAUGAGAAUUCUAAGGUGAGCGAGCGAACUCUCGUUAAGGAACUCGGCAAAAUGACCCCGUAACUUCGGGAGAAGGGGUGCUCUUUAGGGUUAACGCCCAGAAGAGCCGCAGUGAAUAGGCCCAAGCGACUGUUUAUCAAAAACACAGGUCUCUGCUAAACCGUAAGGUGAUGUAUAGGGGCUGACGCCUGCCCGGUGCUGGAAGGUUAAGAGGAGUGGUUAGCUUCUGCGAAGCUACGAAUCGAAGCCCCAGUAAACGGCGGCCGUAACUAUAACGGUCCUAAGGUAGCGAAAUUCCUUGUCGGGUAAGUUCCGACCCGCACGAAAGGCGUAACGAUUUGGGCACUGUCUCAACGAGAGACUCGGUGAAAUCAUAGUACCUGUGAAGAUGCAGGUUACCCGCGACAGGACGGAAAGACCCCGUGGAGCUUUACUGUAGCCUGAUAUUGAAAUUCGGCACAGCUUGUACAGGAUAGGUAGGAGCCUUUGAAACGUGAGCGCUAGCUUACGUGGAGGCGCUGGUGGGAUACUACCCUAGCUGUGUUGGCUUUCUAACCCGCACCACUUAUCGUGGUGGGAGACAGUGUCAGGCGGGCAGUUUGACUGGGGCGGUCGCCUCCUAAAAGGUAACGGAGGCGCUCAAAGGUUCCCUCAGAAUGGUUGGAAAUCAUUCAUAGAGUGCAAAGGCAUAAGGGAGCUUGACUGCGAGACCUACAAGUCGAGCAGGGUCGAAAGACGGACUUAGUGAUCCGGUGGUUCCGCAUGGAAGGGCCAUCGCUCAACGGAUAAAAGCUACCCCGGGGAUAACAGGCUUAUCUCCCCCAAGAGUUCACAUCGACGGGGAGGUUUGGCACCUCGAUGUCGGCUCAUCGCAUCCUGGGGCUGUAGUCGGUCCCAAGGGUUGGGCUGUUCGCCCAUUAAAGCGGUACGCGAGCUGGGUUCAGAACGUCGUGAGACAGUUCGGUCCCUAUCCGUCGUGGGCGUAGGAAAUUUGAGAGGAGCUGUCCUUAGUACGAGAGGACCGGGAUGGACAUACCUCUGGUGUACCAGUUGUCGUGCCAACGGCAUAGCUGGGUAGCUAUGUGUGGACGGGAUAAGUGCUGAAAGCAUCUAAGCAUGAAGCCCCCCUCAAGAUGAGAUUUCCCAACUUCGGUUAUAAGAUCCCUCAAAGAUGAUGAGGUUAAUAGGUUCGAGGUGGAAGCAUGGUGACAUGUGGAGCUGACGAAUACUAAUCGAUCGAAGACUUAAUCAA